CGGGGUGUAGUUCAGAUGGCUAGAACGCUACGUUCGGGACGUAGAGGUCGUCCGUUCAAGUCGGAUCACCCCGA
Molecule: transfer RNA, 74 nt
Filed under: candidate division WS6 bacterium RIFOXYC1_FULL_33_10
Lineage: Bacteria
Also listed under: 1 other name
Description: tRNA-Pro
Source: RNAcentral